UUCUAACCGUAAACGAUGACAACCAGCGAUUAAUCGGCGUUAAUAUACGACCCGAUUAGCAGCUUCCGGGAAACCAAAGUUUUUCGUUUCCGGGGGAAGUAUGGUUGCAAAGCUGAAACUUAAAGGAAUUGACGGAAGGGCACCACCAGGAGUGGAGCCUGCGGCUUAAUUUGACUCAACACGGGAAAACUCACCCGGCCCGGACACUGUAAGGAUUGACAGACUGAGAGCUCUUUCUUAAUUCAGUGGGUGGUGGUGCAUGGCCGUUCUUAGUUGGUGGAGCGAUUUGUCUGGUUAAUUCCGAUAACGAACGAGACUCUGGCCUAUUAAAUAGACGAGAUAUUACUCAGUAUCUCGCGCUUCUUAGAGGGACAAGCGGCGUCUAGUCGCAUGAAAAAGAGCAAUAACAGGUCUGUGAUGCCCUUAGAUGUCCGGGGCUGCACGCGCGCUACACUGAAAGAAUCAGUGGGCGUUUUACCUGGUUCGGAAGAACCGGGUAACCCAAGUAAUUUCUUUCGUGCUUGGGAUAGGGAAUUGCAAUUAUUUCCCUUAAACGAGGAAUUCCCAGUAAACGCGGGUCAUAAGCUCGUGUUG
Molecule: ribosomal RNA, 594 nt
Filed under: Eudorylaimus environmental sample
Lineage: Eukaryota; Metazoa; Nematoda; Enoplea; Dorylaimida; Qudsianematidae
Description: SSU rRNA
Rfam family: Eukaryotic small subunit ribosomal RNA
Source: RNAcentral